This 2129-nucleotide long non-coding RNA is filed under the name Homo sapiens (human). Its description in RNAcentral is "HSALNT0197478". Lineage: Eukaryota; Metazoa; Chordata; Mammalia; Primates; Hominidae. The record is from RNAcentral.
CCAGGAUUGCUUUUAAUUGGAUGAAUUACACAUAUUUGUAAAACUUUAAACGAAUUUCUUGUUGGCUGAAAAAUCCUAUUUUUUCUUUCUUUUCUGAAAGGAGGUGUCACUCUGUCGCCCAGACUCCAUCUCAAAAAAAUAAAAUAAAAUAAAGCAAAACAACCCAUCAGAACUCACUUUAGAAGCUAAGUUACAGGACACUGCUUAAUACUGUUGGGCGACUUCUUGAGAGAGUGACUUAAUAAGGUCAGACUACUUGGCGAUAAGCUGCUAUGUAACUGUUAUUUCAGGUUUCAUCCAUGGGGACAGCACGACCAAGUCAUUUUGCCACAUUUCUGAUGACUGAGACAUGCAGUUAGUUUUCCGCAUGUACAGAGGUGCGGGCCUGCUAGCUCAGUGACGGAGAGCCCCACUGCCUCGUCAUGAAGCCCCGACACACUCAGUACUUGGCCUUUCGCUCCUUCUUUUAUGUUCUUGGCAGUUACUUCUUCACUGCUCCUGACAUAGCACACAGAAAAAAAAAACCCUUCUACAAACGUUGCCUGGCCUCCCUCUGAGGGCCACAUGGCUCCGCGGGAAUAAAUGCAGGACACUAGGAGUGGGGACGACCCACACCUGAGCCAGGGGCAGCAGCAAAGCAUUUGAGCGGCAAGGGGACAGGGAGACAAGCCAGGAGGGUUCCAUUAGCAGGCAUCUCAUCAAAAAGACAGUGUCAUUUCUGAAACAGGCAUCACGUCUCUGACGAGUUUAUACGCCAGCUACCGCACAGACCCCAAGCACCUCACAGAGCCAGGCUUGCUCAUCCACAGAGGAGAAUGAAAACGUAUCACACCCACCACCUUCCCCCUUUGUAAAACCAACGAACUUUCACUAUCGUUUUCACCAGACUGACGUGUUCAGGUCAUGGAGAAAAGGAACAGGACUGCCUGUUUUUAAUGAAAGCUGACUUAGGCCUGGAACUAAGUUAAGCACUUUAUACAGGUAUCUCUUCACCUCAGUUUACAUUAGGGGCCAAUUUUUUCAAAGCAAUAAAUGAAAUAACAUGAGAAACCAUGUCUGGCAUUUCAGAGAUGACGAGCAUACUUAGACAUACCCAGGAAAAGCGGAGGGUGUGCCCUGGCGGCUGAGCCUGCAGCCCGGGGGUGUGAGUGAGGGUGUGCCCUGGCGGCUGAGCCUGCAGCCCGGGGGUGCGUCUCAGGGCCAUCGCCUGGAGGUGCAUCCACACACACCGUCUCACUCCAUUUUUUCCUAACACGGUGAAAAUCAGCAUCUCUGUGUAUUAGCACAAGGAGGUGACAAUGUGAAAAACCCAUAAUCUCUCCAGUGUCAGGGGCACUAUCAUAAAAUGCCUAAGUUAGGAGAGUAAGUUUUAAAUUUUUGCCCCGUAACAAAAAAAUCACACAGGGUUCCCUGAACCCUUUUUAAUGCAAAGUCUGUGCAUCUUGAGUGAAAGGGGUUCCCUUCUUUUGAGGAUCCCUUUAAGUGGGUGCUACCUAAGACUGCAGGUCCACGGUCUCAAAUAAUUCUCUUCUUUCCUCCAAACCAAGAAGUCACGAAUAACCUAAAUUAAAAAUAAAUGUUCACUGCAUCAAAUGUGUAGCCAACAAUUUGGUGCCAGGCACCGUGCCUCACGCCUGUAAUCCCAGCACUUUGGAAGGCCGAGAUGGGCGGAUCACUUGAGGUCACGAGUUCAAGACCAGCCUGGCCAACAUGGUGAAACCCUCUCUCUACUGAAAAUACAAAAUUAGCCUGGCAUGGUGGCGGGUGCCUGUAAUCCCUGCUACUCAGGAGACUGAGGCAGGAGAAUCACUUGAACCCGGGAGGUGGAGGUUGCAGUGAGCCAAGAUCACUCCAUUGCACUCUACUAGCCUGGGCAACAAGAGCGAAACUCCAAUUCAAAAAAAAAAAAAAAAAAGUGCUGGGAUUACAGGCGUGCCACCACACCCAGCCCUAGGGUUUCAAUUACUUAGAACACAAAAGAUGAACUACAAAUAAUUCAUCUAAUAAACCUUUUAAAUUUUUAGCAAAAAAAAUUAUUUCCAUUUUAAAAUAAAACAUUUAUUAAUUAAUUAUUUCUUGGAAUACCUUUUAGGCAGGCUUACAUCAAUGUAUUACAACUUGAAACCAAA